RNAcentral lists this transfer RNA (75 nucleotides) under Caudoviricetes sp. Its description in RNAcentral is "tRNA-Asn". It matches the Rfam family "tRNA". From Rfam's summary of the family: Transfer RNA (tRNA) molecules are approximately 80 nucleotides in length. Their secondary structure includes four short double-helical elements and three loops (D, anti-codon, and T loops). The record is from RNAcentral. Lineage: Duplodnaviria; Heunggongvirae; Uroviricota; Caudoviricetes.
UCUUGGGUAGUUCAAUGGUAGAGCAUCUGGCUGUUAACCAGAAUGUUGGGGGUUCGAGUCCCUCCCCAAGAGCCA